UAGGUCUCCAUCCCAGGAUCCUGGAAUCAUCACUUGAGCCAAAAGGAGACACGCCCCUGAACCACUCAGGCACUCCUGGAUGCAUAAUUUAAGAGAACACCAAAAAACUCAACAAGAUAAAUAAUGUUUGAAUGCAAUAUUUCUAAAAAAAUCAAAUUGGCCAACUAUAACUCACAAGCUGGCUGCCUCUUUUUGUAAACAAAGUAUCAAAGACCACAUCUUCAGGGGAUGAAGCCUCUGGCUUUGUUCUGGAUCCAGGUCAGAGAAGUCUCUCUGGAAGACUUCCAACAGAAGUUCACACUCCUGUGGGAUUGGGACCAGAAAUCACAUCCAUGCCAACCCCCAGGAUAUCAUCUAAUAUGUGGAGGAAGAAUAAUCAACUAGAAAAUCAUCAUUUUGCAAACCUGAAUGAACUAACUCAGGUGAAGGAGUCCCAAACAUGGGGUGUUGGCAUACUGAUUAUUUUGAGUUAAAGGCACUGGACAAACAGCAGGUGCAGAGGGUGGUCUGUCCUUCCUUUUUCUUCCUGAAAGCAGGAAAUAAAGCUCCCCCGUGAAAGUGCCCUCGCUGUAGCCAGAGGAAGGAAGACAUUCUCAUUACCAAGGAUGAGAGGCUGACAGACCGUGUUAAAACAAUUCUGAUUUCCUGUCACCUCCCUGCGGUUGAGUUGCUUUGUCACACAACUGCCUCUCUUUGUUCAACCCACCAGAAAAGCAAAUAGGUUUCACCGUGUCCUUGGUUCUUUGUUUCCAUAUAAAGGCUCCAGUGUCAUGGGAAACUUAUAUUA
Molecule: long non-coding RNA, 787 nt
Organism: Mustela erminea (ermine)
Lineage: Eukaryota; Metazoa; Chordata; Mammalia; Carnivora; Mustelidae
Exons: 2
Source: RefSeq, a predicted model, not a curated record